Molecule: ribosomal RNA, 569 nt
Filed under: uncultured bacterium
Lineage: Bacteria
Description: bacterial SSU rRNA
Rfam family: Bacterial small subunit ribosomal RNA
Source: RNAcentral
CCUACGGGAGGCAGCAGUGGGGAAUAUUGCACAAUGGGCGAAAGCCUGAUGCAGCGACGCCGCGUGAGGGAUGACGGCCUUCGGGUUGUAAACCUCUUUCAGCAGGGAAGAAGCGAAAGUGACGGUACCUGCAGAAGAAGCGCCGGCUAACUACGUGCCAGCAGCCGCGGUAAUACGUAGGGCGCAAGCGUUGUCCGGAAUUAUUGGGCGUAAAGAGCUCGUAGGCGGCUUGUCACGUCGGGUGUGAAAGCCCGGGGCUUAACCCCGGGUCUGCAUUCGAUACGGGCUAGCUAGAGUGUGGUAGGGGAGAUCGGAAUUCCUGGUGUAGCGGUGAAAUGCGCAGAUAUCAGGAGGAACACCGGUGGCGAAGGCGGAUCUCUGGGCCAUUACUGACGCUGAGGAGCGAAAGCGUGGGGAGCGAACAGGAUUAGAUACCCUGGUAGUCCACGCCGUAAACGGUGGGAACUAGGUGUUGGCGACAUUCCACGUCGUCGGUGCCGUCAGCUAACGCAUUAAGUUCCCCGCCUGGGGAGUACGGCCGCAAGGCUAAAACUCAAAUGAAUUGACGG